Molecule: microRNA precursor, 145 nt
Filed under: Chlorocebus sabaeus (green monkey)
Lineage: Eukaryota; Metazoa; Chordata; Mammalia; Primates; Cercopithecidae
Description: miRNA (ENSCSAG00000020156.1)
Source: RNAcentral
AAGGAUUCUGGCUAGAGUCUCAGAGGGAGCAUGGUCCUGUUGACACCUUGAUUUCAGACUUCUAGCCUAUGGAACUGUGCAAGGAUAAAUUUCUGUUGUUUUAAGCCACCCAGUUGGUGGUACUUUGUUAUGGCAGCUUUAGGAA